UUACUAAGAAAGUACUAAAAAUUGGUGCUAUGUUUUUAUGAUUAAAAAAAUCCUUCAAUAGUUGAGUUUAGAAGAAAGAGAUAACAUGGUGGCCAUGACUAUGAUAGAUGAAAUGGCUGCAUCUUCAAUCUUGGGCUUUCUCAUAUGAUAUGAAAUCUUAGGUAUCACAUUCUUCUUUAUUUCCUCUUUGGUUAAGUGAGCAUAUAUAAAGCUGGGUUGCAGUACCACAAAUCACCACUAGGUGCCACUACUUAACAUGACAGUAAAGAGUGAAAAAUGAACAAAUUUUCCUUCCUCCUUUCCUUUCCAAUUUCUGCUCACUGGGUGCCAAGCUCUGUGUUAGGCCUUGCAGCAAUAAACAAGACAAAGCCCCUGGGUUAGACCGACAACUCAUUACAAUAGGUUUGGAAGCAGGGAAUAUCUAUGCUACUGGAGGACCAGUUGGGCCUGUUGGGGUAAUGCAGCUGUGGCAUGAGGUGGCUUGAACCUGGGCAGGGACUUUGGGAAUGGAGAGGGAUUUUUGCUUUUGGAACCACUUGGUGGGUUCAUGUUUCUGUGGCGGCCAUGGAUCCAGAUGGCCCCACCUCCCUUGAUCACUGUCUACCAGGGGUUGUGAAAUGGUCACAUUCUAAUCCGUUGGGUUUGGUUCACACGGCAUUAUUCUUAUCAUCAGCAUUUAAAUGUGUAAUGGUCCAUUUAUUUCCAAUUGUUAGUUCCCUAUUAUAGUAUUGCAAUUUCAAAUCUGCCCCCUUCUCUUCAGAUAUGAAAUUCACAUUUCCAGGAACAAAUUAAUUAGACCAUUAGUGACUUAGAUUCCUAACCUGCUAAAAGGAAAAUUGUUUGACUAGAGUACCAUGUUCAAUUAAAGUCAGCAAAUAGGGCACUAGGGAGCAGAAGAAAAACCAGAAAUGAAAAAACUUGAAGCUUCUUCUCUGUCCAGUGGCAAGUUGCUCAUCAGUGUUGGGAAUUUCCCUAUAUUUCAUCAUGACCAAGCGCAAACAUAUGUGUCAAUCAACCUAUCACAAAAUGAAUGAUUAUUAAUAUAGAUUCAGAGCUUGCUGGCAAUCCUAAGAAGGGCUUGUUUGCAAUGUCUCUAUAGAAGCAUUACGUUUUAAUGGGUAUUACUUGCCAAAAUAAAAUACAGAUUUUUAAUAUUUACUGGAUGGAUACUGGCCCAUCUGAACCAGGUUAAAUUGGUGAAAUCUUCCUAUUCUCUCGAUAAAUACCUUCCCAAGCACCCUUUUCCUCCAGGAGAGACUUUCCCCAAGAGCACCCUAAGCCCACUCCCCUAUAAUCUGAUUAUAAAGAGGUUGCAUCUGGCAUGAAGAGGCUCCAGCUCCCCGCUCCAUCCCAAGGUGACUAGUCUUUGCCCUGAACCAUAAUGACUGUUAAAUACUUUGACCAGCAGCCCUGCCUUUAGGUGACAGUCUGUGGCCUCUGGGCUGGACCAUGCAGCCUGGCCUCUGGAGCAGGGCCAUCACAGAUGGCUUUGGUGUUUGGGUUGGUUUUUGUUUUUAACUUUUAAUUGGAAAAGCUAUUUUAUUUUCGGCAGUGUUUACAUUUCCAUAGCGCAGUGCUAACCCUGAGCAAUCUGGAGAGGAUUAGAUAAAAUUUUACAACUCCAGGGAAACAGAAAAUUAUUUUUUUUUUUAUUUUUGUGGUUCCAACACAUUAAAAUAAUGUUUUUUUUUUUUUUUUUUCCAACCAUUGAAAGCUACUCCAGGGACAUAGUUAAGCUCUUUAUAGUCAGCAUCAGGUAGCAAGCAGUACUGCUUUAAAAAAAAAAGAUAAUAAUACUAAACCUAUUUGUACUUUCUAAAAUCAAGCCUGUUUGCCUUUCCUUCACGAACAGUGCAUCUAUGGGAGACUCGAAGGCCCAUCUUAGAGGAACUUGUUCUUUCUCCUCCAAGAAAUUGUUUUGCAUCUAAGAGAAACACGUGUCCCGUUUUAAUUAGAAACUGGUGGGCACCAGGCUGGCUGGCUGGCUGCUCGGGCCGCACCGUGAACCGGAGGGCUGAGUGGAGGCCAGGGAGCCUGAGCGUAUCUUCAGGGAUUUCUUCCCACCUGCUGCUGGCGGAGGCGUUCUAGCCCUUGCCAUGCACCUGUCGCGGCACAUCCUCCACCCCCUCGGCACUCCCACCCUCACUGUCACCUGCCACGAGGCCAGGACGUGGCAGCGUGUUAGGUGUCCCAUGAGUCUCUCACUUGAUUAGUCAUCCUGGGAACACACUCCGGGGAAGUGGUAAAGGGAGUGAGGUAAGUAAGAGUUUGCCUUCCUCUCUGCGCUCCAGACCAGAAUUUGGUUUAGAGAAAGCAUGCUGGCCUCAGCACUGCCCGGGCAGAAGGACUCCAGGUGCCCACAGUGUCUACCAGUGACUCUGUAUGGGGAAGGGGAGGACAUUUCAGGUGCUGCCCUGACUGCGAUCGGCUGGAAAGCCUAGGCGGGUGGCCACUUAGAAGAGUCUUAAGAGGGUUAGAGUUUUGCUUGGAGUUUGAAACGCUGCACAAGGCCACCUUUUAAUAGUUACAAGGCCGCCUGUGACCCAGCACGGGGUGUCUGUCAUCUGAGGAGGAAGCAUGCUCUCCUCCCCCAGCCCAGGGCCGUGGCAUUUCCUCUCUUCAGUGUGUUUUUCAUGCCGCCAGAACAACUAAGCUCAAGGCCACCAUUUGCACAAUUCCAGGGAUUCUGCUACUUUGCCUUGGAGAAUCCAUGUGACUCACGUCACCCAGGGCUGUGCAAAGUGGUGGCCAUGUCCAAAUGCUUGCCUGCAGCAGGGUUUUGCCAGGUCACUCCUAUUUUUUAAGUCCUGCCUCAAUGUCACUGCUAGUUAAAGCAGACCCCUGCUAUUUUCUAUUACGUUAUCCUGUUCCCUGUCUUCGUAAAUGGUGACUCAUUUAUCAACGCCUGGAUUCCUACAUAUUUUUACAUUUUGAAAUAUUGUCUGUGUCCUCUCAACUCCAUGAUAGAGCAGAGAUUUUUGUUUUGUUUUGGCCACUGUUGGAUCCCUGGUGCCUUGGGCAGUGCUUAGCACAGUGCCACACCAAGUAUUUGUUGAAUGAAUAAAUGAGCAUUGCAAGUUUUUCCCCACGUGGCUGGUGAUUGGUUG
This is a long non-coding RNA of Sus scrofa (pig), 3107 nucleotides long. RefSeq lists it as uncharacterized. Lineage: Eukaryota; Metazoa; Chordata; Mammalia; Artiodactyla; Suidae. The record is from RefSeq and is a predicted model, not a curated record.